RNAcentral lists this ribosomal RNA (492 nucleotides) under uncultured bacterium. Its description in RNAcentral is "partial 16S ribosomal RNA". It matches the Rfam family "Bacterial small subunit ribosomal RNA", at positions 29 to 507 of the family's 1533-position model. The record is from RNAcentral.
AGUGAACGCUGGCGGUAGGCCUAACACAUGCAAGUCGAACGGCAGCACAGUAAGAGCUUGCUCUUACGGGUGGCGAGUGGCGGACGGGUGAGGAAUACAUCGGAAUCUACUUUUUCGUGGGGGAUAACGUAGGGAAACUUACGCUAAUACCGCAUACGACCUACGGGUGAAAGCAGGGGAUCUUCGGACCUUGCGCGAUUGAAUGAGCCGAUGUCGGAUUAGCUCGUUGGCGGGGUAAAGGCCCACCAAGGCGACGAUCCGUAGCUGGUCUGAGAGGUUGAUCAGCCACACUGGAACUGAGACACGGUCCAGACUCCUACGGGAGGCAGCAGUGGGGAAUAUUAGACAAGGGGCGCAAGCCUGAUCCAGCCAUACCGCGUGGAUGAAGAAGGCCUUCGGGUUGUAAAGCCCUUUUGUUGGGAAAGAAAAGCAGCAGGUUAAUACCCCGCUGUUCUGACGGUACCCAAAGAAUAAGCACCGGCUAACUUCGUG